UACGUAGGGACCAAGCGUUGUUCGGAUUUACUGGGCGUAAAGGGCGCGUAGGCGGCGUGUCAAGUCAAUUGUGAAAUCUCCGAGCUUAACUCGGAACGGUCAAUUGAUACUGAUGUGCUAGAGUGCAGAAGGGGCAAUCGGAAUUCUUGGUGUAGCGGUGAAAUGCGUAGAUAUCAAGAGGAACACCUGAGGUGAAGACGGGUUGCUGGGCUGACACUGACGCUGAGGCGCGAAAGCUAGGGGAGCAAACAGG
Molecule: ribosomal RNA, 253 nt
Filed under: uncultured bacterium
Lineage: Bacteria
Description: partial 16S ribosomal RNA
Rfam family: Bacterial small subunit ribosomal RNA
Source: RNAcentral